CAGCCGCCACGGGAAUACGGAGGGUGCAAGCGUUGUCCGGAUUUAUUGGGUUUAAAGGGUGCGUAGGCGGCCUAAUAAGUCAGUGGUGAAAGCCUCCAGCUUAACUGGAGAACUGCCAUUGAUACUGUUAGGCUUGAGUAUACUUGAGGUAGGCGGAAUCGACAGUGUAGCGGUGAAAUGCAUAGAUAUUGUCAAGAACACCAAUUGCGAAGGCAGCUUACUAAAUUAUAACUGACGCUGAGGCACGAAAGUGUGGGUAUCAAACAGGAUUAGAUACCCCGGUAGUCCCUGUCUCUUAUAC
RNAcentral lists this ribosomal RNA (301 nucleotides) under uncultured bacterium. RNAcentral describes it as "partial 16S ribosomal RNA". It matches the Rfam family "Bacterial small subunit ribosomal RNA", at positions 509 to 807 of the family's 1533-position model. The record is from RNAcentral.